This 1034-nucleotide long non-coding RNA is filed under the name Brassica napus (rape). Its description in RNAcentral is "long non-coding RNA (BNAP_LNC026154)". The record is from RNAcentral. Lineage: Eukaryota; Viridiplantae; Streptophyta; Magnoliopsida; Brassicales; Brassicaceae.
CAAGGCUGGUAUUUGAAGAGACUUGCAAAUAGAUUAAAAAGUAAAAUAAAACAUUCAGCAAAAAAAAAGUGUCGUACAUCGACCUAGAACUAGGAGACGUCUAACGUCUUCUUGCCUCCGAAAGCAGAACGUGGGCGUUUGACUUAGACGACUUCCGUCUCCAGCGGAAACCAUCUUUGAUUUGUUAGUAGAAACUAUCAUUGUCGAACUUAAAACACCACCUAAUCGAUAUAUGUCUCUGUGAGCACAAAACUGAAGAGCAAAACGUAAGUUAUAUCAGUGUGAUGCUGCUUGAAGGAGUUCAUUCUUUGAUUCGUCCUUACCAUAAGAUUUUUGAUCUAAGCUCCACAAUAGAAUCCAUUCAACUCCAAAAUCAGAAAGAGCGAAAGCGUGCAUGCCACAAUGAAACUGCUACAUAAGGUGAGACUCUCACAUCUCAUACCAACUUCAAAAAUAUAUAAAAGUCAUACCUUUGAUGAAUAUACAAACUAAAGAACUAGAAACAACAAACUCACAAAAAGCUGAACGGGUCAGUAUCCAUACAAAAGUCUUUCAGCUCUAACUCUUCACUCCAGUAGCUUCCAUAACUCUUUCAAGCAUCACCUCUUUAGCUUUUAACUAUCUGAGCUAAUGAUAGAGUUUGGAUAUCUCUAACUCCUCAAUCAAACCAGAAUACAAGAUAGAACAAUGAAUACAAGAUAGCUUUGCAGAUUCCGAUCACAAUCACCUUCUCAUGGCGAAGAUGACUGAUCACGACGAUCUCAUGGCGACCGUGCCGAGACUCAUGGCGUCUACGAACAACAACAUACAAAGCAUGAAACUCCUCUGCAUCAAAAGCUUCCUCUUUAUACUCUCCAUCUUCAUGCAGCUGCCUCCUUCUCACUAACGGCAAAGCUUCUGAACCAGUUAGAAGGUCUCCUUCACUCUGAUUCCUUGUCCCAGUCAGCUUCCUCAUUUUCCACGUCAGCAUAUAGAAUAGGUAUCUAUCAGCUUUGGAAGCAUUGAAAUCAAUCAACGUCUUGACUUAAUACAAA